UACAGAGGGGGCAAGCGUUGUUCGGAAUUACUGGGCGUAAAGGGCGCGUAGGUGGCCUUCUAAGUUGAACGUGAAAUCCCUGGGCUCAACCCAGGAACUGCGUCCAAGACUGGGAGGCUUGAAUUCGGGAGAGGAAUGCGGAAUUCCAGGUGUAGCGGUGAAAUGCGUAGAUAUCUGGAGGAACACCAGAGGCGAAGGCGGCUACCUGGACAAUUGCUGACGCUCAGGCACGAAAGCGUGGGGAGCAAAAGGG
RNAcentral lists this ribosomal RNA (253 nucleotides) under uncultured bacterium. RNAcentral's name for it is "partial 16S ribosomal RNA". It matches the Rfam family "Bacterial small subunit ribosomal RNA", at positions 524 to 776 of the family's 1533-position model. The record is from RNAcentral.